RNAcentral lists this ribosomal RNA (1275 nucleotides) under uncultured bacterium. Its description in RNAcentral is "bacterial SSU rRNA". It matches the Rfam family "Bacterial small subunit ribosomal RNA", at positions 63 to 1339 of the family's 1533-position model. The record is from RNAcentral.
CGAACGCAUCACUUCGGUGAUGAGUGGCGAACGGGUGAGUAAAAGAUAAGGAACCUGCCCUAGGCAGGGGGAUAACGACCGGAAACGGACGCUAAAACCGCACAGGCUGGGAACUCGCAUGAGGAUCCAGUUAAAUAUCCUUUAGGGGAUAGGCAAAGGAGGGACUUAUCACGCAUUAGCUAGUUGGUGGGGUAACGGCCUACCAAGGCGACGAUGCGUAGCCGGCCUGAGAGGGCGGACGGCCACACUGGGACUGAGACACGGCCCAGACUCCUACGGGAGGCAGCAGUAGGGAAUUUUCGGCAAUGGGCGAAAGCCUGACCGAGCAACGCCGCGUGAACGAAGAAGGUCUUCGGAUUGUAAAGUUCUGUUAUAGAGGAAGAAUGGUGUACGAAGGAAAUGGCGUACAAAUGACGGUACUCUGUGAGGAAGCCACGGCUAACUACGUGCCAGCAGCCGCGGUAAUACGUAGGUGGCGAGCGUUAUCCGGAAUCAUUGGGCGUAAAGAGGGAGCAGGCGGCCUGGAGGGUCUAUUGUUAAAAGGCAAUGGCUUAACCAUUGUAAGGCGAAGAAACCGGCAGGUUGGGGUUUUAAAGGGGGAUCGUGGGAAUUCCAGGGGUGGCGGUGAAAUGCGUAGAUAUAGGGAGGAAACACCAGUGGGGAAGGCGACGAUCUGGGAAGAAACAGACGCUGAGUCCCGAAAGCGUGGGGAGCAAAUAGGAUUAGAUACCCUAGUAGUCCACGCCGUAAACGAUGAGUACUAAGUGUUGGGGGUCAAACCUCAGUGCUGUAGUUAACGCAAUAAGUACUCCGCCUGAGUAGUACGUUCGCAAGAAUGAAACUCAAAGGAAUUGACGGGGGCCCGCACAAGCGGUGGAGCAUGUGGUUUAAUUCGAAGCAACGCGAAGAACCUUACCAGGUCUUGACAUCGAUCUAAAGGCCCUAGAGAUAGGGAGAUAGUUAUAGAGAAGACAGGUGGUGCAUGGUUGUCGUCAGCUCGUGUCGUGAGAUGUUGGGUUAAGUCCCGCAACGAGCGCAACCCUUGUCGUUAGUUACCAGCAGUAAGAUGGGGACUCUAACGAGACCGCCGGUGAGAAGCCGGAGGAAGACGGGGAUGACGUCAAAUCAUCAUGCCCCUUAUGACCUGGGCGACACACGUGCUACAAUGGUCGGUACAGAGAGAAGCGAAGCUGUGAAGUGGAGCGAAACUCAAAAAGCCGAUCGUAGUCCGGAUUGCAGUCUGCAACUCGACUGCAUGAAGCUGGAAUCGCUAGU